This 608-nucleotide ribosomal RNA is filed under the name Squalius lepidus (Tigris dace). RNAcentral describes it as "partial large subunit ribosomal RNA". It matches the Rfam family "Bacterial large subunit ribosomal RNA", at positions 1803 to 2616 of the family's 2925-position model. The record is from RNAcentral. Lineage: Eukaryota; Metazoa; Chordata; Actinopteri; Cypriniformes; Leuciscidae.
UUUAUCAAAAACAUCGCCUCCUGCAACUAUAUUGAGUAUAGGAGGUCCAGCCUGCCCAGUGACUACGGGUUCAACGGCCGCGGUAUUUUGACCGUGCAAGGUAGCGCAAUCACUUGUCUCUUAAAUAGAGACCUGUAUGAAUGGCUAGACGAGGGCUUAACUGUCUCCCCCUUCCGGUCAGUGAAAUUGAUCUAUCCGUGCAGAAGCGGUAUAAUUUUACAAGACGAGAAGACCCUUUGGAGCUUAAGGUACAAAAUUCAACCACGUCAAACGACUUCACAGAGAGCAAGAACUUAGUGGCGAGUGAAAUUUUACCUUCGGUUGGGGCGACCACGGAGGAGAAAGAAGCCUCCGAGUGGACUGGGCUAAUCCCCAAAGCCAAGAGAUACAUCUAUAAGCCGCAGAACAUCUGACCAAAAAUGAUCCGGCUGAUAAAGCCGAUCAACGAACCAAGUUACCCUAGGGAUAACAGCGCAAUCCUCUCCCAGAGUCCAUAUCGACGAGGGGGUUUACGACCUCGAUGUUGGAUCAGGACAUCCUAAUGGUGCAGCCGCUAUUAAGGGUUCGUUUGUUCAACGAUUAAAGUCCUACGUGAUCUGAGUUCAGAC